GAUGAACGCUAGCUACAGGCUUAACACAUGCAAGUCGCGGGGCAGCAUGGGGGUUGCUUGCCACCCCUGAUGGCGACCGGCGCACGGGUGAGUAACGCGUAUCCAACCUGCCCUUCACCACGGGAUAACCCGGCGAAAGUCGGACUAAUACCGUAUGUUGUCCAUUGACGGCAUCCGAUUUGGCCGAAAGGCUUGGGGGGGCAAGGGUGGGGAUGCGUCCGAUUAGCUUGACGGCGGGGUAACGGCCCAGCGUGGCUUCGAUCGGUAGGGGUUCGGAGAGGAAGGUCCCCCACACGGGAACUGAGACACGGUCCAGACUCCUACGGGAGGCAGCAGUGAGGAAUAUUGGUCAAGGGGCGUAAGCCUGAACCAGCCAAGUAGCGUGCAGGAUGACGGCCCUAUGGGUGGUAAACUGCUUUUAUGCGGGGAUAAAGUGGCCCACGUGUGGGCUUUUGCAGGUACCGCAUGAAUAAGGACCGGCUAAUUCCGUG
RNAcentral lists this ribosomal RNA (491 nucleotides) under uncultured bacterium. RNAcentral describes it as "partial 16S ribosomal RNA". It matches the Rfam family "Bacterial small subunit ribosomal RNA", at positions 28 to 507 of the family's 1533-position model. The record is from RNAcentral.